GUUAUAAGCCUCUUCUUGAAAGUAAAAACCUUUGGGAAGUCACAGUAGUCCUAAGAAAUUAGGGGCUACUAUGCAAAGGGAAGUCAGAAAGCAAGUCGAGAAAAGGGUGUUUUCUGCAAUUGUAUUUGGUGCAGUGGCUCUAGGACAUGCCAGUUCAUUUGCUCCAGACUAUGCUAAAGCUAAGCUGUCUGCAGCCCACUUAUUCAUGCUGUUUGAAAGACAACCUCUGAUUGACAGCUACAGUGAAGAGGGGCUGAAGCCUG
RNAcentral lists this long non-coding RNA (263 nucleotides) under Homo sapiens (human). Its description in RNAcentral is "HSALNT0125254". Lineage: Eukaryota; Metazoa; Chordata; Mammalia; Primates; Hominidae. The record is from RNAcentral.